RNAcentral lists this ribosomal RNA (253 nucleotides) under uncultured bacterium. Its description in RNAcentral is "partial 16S ribosomal RNA". It matches the Rfam family "Bacterial small subunit ribosomal RNA", at positions 524 to 776 of the family's 1533-position model. The record is from RNAcentral.
UACGUAGGGGCCGAGCGUUGUCCGGAGUUAUUGGGCGUAAAGCGCGCGCAGGCGGCUUGGCGCGCCCGACGUGAAAGCCCCCGGCUUAACCGGGGAGAGUCGUCGGGGACGGCCGGGCUUGAGGGCGGGAGAGGGUGGUGGAAUUCCCGGUGUAGUGGUGAAAUUCGUAGAGAUCGGGAGGAACACCAGUGGCGAAGGCGACUAUCUGGCUGACAACUGACGCUGAGACUCGAAAGCAUGGGGAGCAAACAGG